Aphidius gifuensis is the source of this 436-nucleotide long non-coding RNA. RefSeq lists it as uncharacterized. Lineage: Eukaryota; Metazoa; Arthropoda; Insecta; Hymenoptera; Braconidae. The record is from RefSeq and is a predicted model, not a curated record. The transcript is spliced from 2 exons.
GCCAGCUGCAAUUUCAUUUGGACAAAGAAUACGUUUGGAUUGGCAUACAGUGACUGCGCGGCAAGCAACACAGCACGGCUCAGCCCGCAACCAAAGAUCGUACAAAUCAACAGCCUUCAAACAAGCCACAUUAACCUCAAGUGAUUUAUAUUUUCUUACGAAUCGCGAAUCACAAAACUAGUGUCUAUAUUUGUCAUUUAAAAAAAAAAAAUCCCAAAAGCUUAAGUUUGAAAAAUAAAAUUGAAAGAAAAUUAAUAAAAAAAAAUUGAGAUUCAUAUAUUGAUAUCUUAAUUUUAAGUGUACAAAAUUUUAUUUAAAUAUAUCAGAUACAAAAAAAAAAAAUCCGACAGUGCCAAAUCAAAAGGAUUAUGAACAAGUGAAUAAUUAUUGUAAAAAAAAAAAAAAAGAAAAUUUAAGAAAUAAAAAAUCAAAUUUG